CUGUGGUCGACACAGACGCGUUGUGGCGAGGAAUUAGUAGCGCGGGAUGUCUCUGUCAGGGUUCUGCCAUGAACCUCCACACCUGAGGAAGAUGCUUGCUCCUGGGACAGUGAAAUCCUUUGACAUGCAAAAUUCAGACGUCGACGAUCUCGCCUUUCAAGACACUGCAUUUGAGAACUCGUCUCUCACCACAACCACUUUGCCUCUCCAAAAAAGUUCACACCCAGACCGUCGAAUUCCUCCAUGAGCAGCUUCAGGCUAAGAGGUGAUGGCAUCCUGUCUGCUUUGAUUAUCAUAUUGUUUUUAUUGUUUACGUCCGGGUUUCGACAUGUCAUGAAUUCCAGAUGUUGUUUUGCAGAUCUCGAGUGUGGUAACAAUUAUAUAACCAUUUUGGCAAGCCACGUCCAAAAGGUAAACAAAAAAAGUACGCGGUGUACCGGCAGGAGAGCGGAGCGGAAAGACUUUGUUCAGGGCUGUGGUUGGGUCUGAAUGUACAAGAAGGAGAGACAGAGUCACACUUUUAUUUCAACCUUAAUUCACAUUUAAUUCCUUAAUCUCAUAAUUUCAACUUUUUCCAACAGCUUGUCUGUUUUCAUUAAUUCUACAUGUUUGAUAGAUUUGUUUUUUAUAUCGUAAAUGAGGAAUUAAUUGCUUUUUUUUUUCAAUUAUUGAGGAACAACACAUCCCAAAUUUAGUCCACAAGGCAAUUACCAACAGAGUUUGGUGGCGAGCAGUGAUUGGCAGUUUGAGCAACAUCAUAUGAACACGAAGCUUUGCCAAACGUAGGAAUUCAUUUAAGCCGUUGUGGACAAAAUUGAAAGUCGGCGCAUGUUAAAAUUUGGUUUGAUUUAGAUUCAAACAGGAAAACAAUCGCGCAAACACCAUCCAGACUUUGAACAUGCUGGACAAGAGGGAUCCCGACCAAGUGGAUUUUUCACCACUGACUCAUGAAGUGAUGCACAGCAGGCGUGUAGAAAACACUGCUGUAAGUUGGGCGUAUGAAGUCCUUUUGAAGUCAAGUAAAAGAAGACACAGCUUCAAGAUCAGAGUCUGAUCUGGUCGCUCAAAAUGACCCCAAAUUGCACUGGAACAGUCACAUUUUUAGGUGUAAUAUAUAUAUAUAUAUAUAUAUAUAAAAAACUGUACACUGUAUCAGACCACUGUAGGUUCGUCUUUGUUUGGUUGCUCCUGCUCUGAGCACAAAGGAGGAACUGCCAAACAAAAGAACUGAACCUUGACUUUACUUGGUAAAAGCUGGAGCUAAUGUUUAUGUUCCUUUGCCAGCAAGCAACUGGCACCAGGAAGGUGUGCCGGGGCUGCUGACAUCAGUAUAUGCUUAUCAUGCC
Molecule: long non-coding RNA, 1346 nt
Organism: Synchiropus splendidus (mandarinfish)
Lineage: Eukaryota; Metazoa; Chordata; Actinopteri; Syngnathiformes; Callionymidae
Exons: 3
Source: RefSeq, a predicted model, not a curated record